Molecule: non-coding RNA, 84 nt
Organism: Bombyx mori (domestic silkworm)
Lineage: Eukaryota; Metazoa; Arthropoda; Insecta; Lepidoptera; Bombycidae
Source: Rfam
UUAAUUCAAAUUUGUAUGGAAUUGGAACGUUUUCCUACGUUUCCCGCUAGGGGCGCUGUUCCGACUGCCUACAAAUUUGAGUUA